RNAcentral lists this long non-coding RNA (283 nucleotides) under Elaeis guineensis (African oil palm). Its description in RNAcentral is "long non-coding RNA (EGUI_LNC016930)". The record is from RNAcentral. Lineage: Eukaryota; Viridiplantae; Streptophyta; Magnoliopsida; Arecales; Arecaceae.
AGGUGGAAAAAAAAAACUCACAUGCAUGAGUUGUUCAAAUCUAUGGUUGACGAUCUCCUUUAGUUUAUUCUUGCGACGUGCCUCCAGAAUGACAGUCUGCAUCACCAAUUCGAAAAGAUCAUUUCCCAAUCGGGGUCACUUCAGGAGCGACAUUCUUGUCACAGUGUCCUCCUUGAUCGAGCUCGAUGGGGCCCAGAGAUUGUGGUCGGCUUGCGUCUGAGCUCUUUGGAAGGCAAUGUGGGUCGGGCAUCAUUGUUCUUGAUCCUCACCAUAGUGGUUGGCG